RNAcentral lists this ribosomal RNA (406 nucleotides) under uncultured bacterium. RNAcentral's name for it is "partial 16S ribosomal RNA". It matches the Rfam family "Bacterial small subunit ribosomal RNA", at positions 30 to 526 of the family's 1533-position model. The record is from RNAcentral.
AUUGAACGCUGGCGGCAGGCCUAACACAUGCAAGUCGAACGAGUGGCGGACGGGUGAGUAAUGUCUGGGAACCUGCGCGAUGGAGGGGGAUAACUACUGGACACGGUAGCUACUACCGCAUACCAUCGGAUGUGCCCAGAUGGGAUUAGCUAGACGGUGGGGUAACGGCUCACCUAGGCGACGAUCCCUAGCUGGUCUGAGAGGAUGACCAGCCACACGGGAACUGAGACACGGGCCAGACUCCUACGGGAGGCAGCAGUUGGGAAUAUUGCACAAUGGGCGCAAGCCUGAUGCAGCCAUGCCGCGUGUAUGAAGAAGGCCUUCGGGUUGUAAAGUACUUUCAGCGAGGAGGCGUUACCCGCAGAAGAAGCACCGGCUAACUCCGUGCCAGCAGCCGCGGUAAUUC